ACGGGAGGCAGCAGUGGGGAAUAUUGGGCAAUGGGCGAAAGCCUGACCCAGCAACGCCGCGUGAAGGAAGAAGGUCUUCGGAUUAUAAACUUCUUUUAUGAGGGACGAAGGAAAUGACGGUACCUCGUGAAUAAGCCACGGCUAACUACGUGCCAGCAGCCGCGGUAAUACGUAGGUGGCAAGCGUUAUCCGGAUUUACUGGGUGUAAAGGGCGCGUAGGCGGGGAAGCAAGUCAGAUGUGAAAUCCAUGGGCUCAACUCAUGAACUGCAUUUGAAACUGUUUUUCUUGAGUGUCGGAGAGGUAGAUGGAAUUCUUAGUGUAGCGGUGAAAUGCGUAGAUAUUAGGAAGAACACCAGUGGCGAAGGCGAUCUACUGGACGAUAACUGACGCUGAGGCGCGAAAGCGUGGGGAGCAAACAGGAUUAGAUACCCUGGUA
Molecule: ribosomal RNA, 437 nt
Filed under: uncultured Oscillospiraceae bacterium
Lineage: Bacteria; Bacillati; Bacillota; Clostridia; Eubacteriales; Oscillospiraceae
Description: bacterial SSU rRNA
Rfam family: Bacterial small subunit ribosomal RNA
Source: RNAcentral